GAUGAACGCUGGCGGCGUGCCUAAUACAUGCAAGUCGAGCGAACAGAUGAGGAGCUUGCUUCUCUGACGUUAGCGGCGGACGGGUGAGUAACACGUGGAUAACCUACCUAUAAGACUGGGAUAACUUCGGGAAACCUGAGCUAAUACCGGAUAAUAUAUUGAACCGCAUGGUUCAAUAGUGAAAGACGGUUUUGCUGUCACUUAUAGAUGGAUCCGCGCCGCAUUAGCUAGUUGGUAAGGUAACGGCUUACCAAGGCAACGAUGCGUAUCCGACCUGAGAGGUUGAUCGGCCACACUGGAACUGAGACACGGUCCAGACUCCUACGGGAGGCAGCAGUAGGGAAUCUUCCGCAAUGGGCGAAAGCCUGACGGAGCAACGCCGCGUGAGUGAUGAAGGUCUUCGGAUCGUAAAACUCUGUUAGUAGGGAAGAACGAAUGUGUAAGUAACUAUGCACGUCUUGACGGUACCUAAUCAGAAAGCCACGGCUAACUACGUG
This 497-nucleotide ribosomal RNA is filed under the name uncultured bacterium. RNAcentral describes it as "partial 16S ribosomal RNA". It matches the Rfam family "Bacterial small subunit ribosomal RNA", at positions 28 to 507 of the family's 1533-position model. The record is from RNAcentral.